Molecule: ribosomal RNA, 265 nt
Filed under: uncultured soil bacterium
Lineage: Bacteria
Description: partial 16S ribosomal RNA
Rfam family: Bacterial small subunit ribosomal RNA
Source: RNAcentral
AGAUUGAACGCUGGCGGCAGGCCUAACACAUGCAAGUCGAGCGGUAGAGAGGUGCUUGCACCUCUUGAGAGCGGCGGACGGGUGAGUAAUGCCUAGGAAUCUGCCUAGUGGUGGGGGAUAACGUUCGGAAACGGACGCUAAUACCGCAUACGUCCUACGGGAGAAAGCGGGGGACCUUCGGGCCUCGCGCCAUUAGAUGAGCCUAGGUCGGAUUAGCUAGUUGGUGAGGUAAUGGCUCACCGAAGGCGACGAUCCGUAACUGGUC